Molecule: ribosomal RNA, 161 nt
Filed under: Bensingtonia ciliata
Lineage: Eukaryota; Fungi; Basidiomycota; Agaricostilbomycetes; Agaricostilbales; Kondoaceae
Description: 5.8S rRNA
Rfam family: 5.8S ribosomal RNA
About the family: 5.8S ribosomal RNA (5.8S rRNA) is a component of the large subunit of the eukaryotic ribosome.
Source: RNAcentral
AUAAUUUUCAGCAACGGAUCUCUUGGCUCUCGCAUCGAUGAAGAACGCAGCGAAAUGCGAUACGUAAUGUGAAUUGCAGAUCUACCCUGAAUCAUCGAAUUUUUGAACGCACCUUGCGCUCUUUGGUUAUUCCGAAGAGCAUGCCUGUUUGAGUGUCGCGA